AGCCACGUAGCUGCCAUCUUGAUCUUUUUUCCUAGCCAACGCAAAGACUGAUUGUCUUGCUACACACUGCUGAAGCUAAAUUCAAGUAGGGCAGGGAUCCUGAAUCCAGUGUGUUGACUAUACUCCCAGUUUGUAUUUUUCACUUGAAAACAGACAUGAACGAUGAGAUAAUGCUCAAAUGUGCAGAAGAGUCCCUGUCUCCAGGUUUAAAAUAAUUGGAUUUGGAGAAUGUGCCUGUCUACACAAUAUUGAGAUUAGCAGUGCCAGUAGCAAUUUGAUUAGAAAAUGGAUUUGCAGCAAACCAGACACAUACACACCAAGAAGUUAAGGUACCAUAGAUAGAAGAUAUUUUACAUAAAAUGUAGUUUUUAUUCCCUUGAAAGAAAUAUAUUAUGGUAAUAUAAAAGUACAUAAAAUUCAUGCUUAGAAAUUUUCACUAUUCCACUUCAAAUCUCUAAGUACAUUUUUAAUAAAUCUAGUUAGAUAGAAGAAUACCUAUCAGAGAAUGAAACUAGUAAGAAUUUAGAAAUAUAUCUUAGUAAAGUCUUAUUGUUAUAUCUUCUAUUAUAGAUCAUUCCAAAUCUUCCAUCUUUUCACCCUCUCUCCUCAUGCACAUUUUUUAUUUCUUUUUCUCCGUGUAUUUCCAUGCAGUUUCUCUAAAAUGCUCAUGUGGUUAUUUUGAUCUCAACAUAAAUAGGGGAAAUUACCGUUCACAGUCAAAUAAAUGCCAAGGCAUGAAGAGAAUAAAAGAGGAAAGUUCUUUUCAAAUUAAAACUGAUCAUUGCAUGUGUUCUUAGAAAACUCAAGACUUUGUUCUCAAGGUCUUUAUCAUACUGUAUCGUAUUAGUAUGCCAGUGUUCUCCUGUAUCAGGAGUUAAUGAAACUAUUUUUAUUGAAAACUAGAACACAAAAAUAGUGACAAUAGUUUUAGCAUUAAAUUUGCAAUUAGUUUAGAAAAUCGAAGAGACUAGAUAGAAGAAGCUUCAACAUUUAAUUACCAAACAUUAUAGUAAGAGCAAAAACAAAUACCUGAGACGUAUAGAAAGGUUCAGUGGUAGCACAAGA
This is a long non-coding RNA of Trichechus manatus latirostris (Florida manatee), 1065 nucleotides long. RefSeq lists it as uncharacterized. NCBI's taxonomy places the organism in Eukaryota, Metazoa, Chordata, Mammalia, Sirenia, Trichechidae. The record is from RefSeq and is a predicted model, not a curated record. The transcript has 3 exons.